CCUACGGGAGGCAGCAGUGGGGAAUAUUGGGCAAUGGGCGCAAGCCUGCCCCAGCAACGCCGCGUGAAGGAAGAAGGCUUUCGGGUUGUAAACUUCUUUUAAGAGGGAAGAGCAGAAGACGGUACCUCUUGAAUAAGCCACGGCUAACUACGUGCCAGCAGCCGCGGUAAUACGUAGGUGGCAAGCGUUGUCCGGCUUUACGGGGUGUAAAGGGCGUGCAGCCGGGAAGACAAGUCAGAUGUGAAAUCCCGGGGCUCAACCGCGGAACUGCAUUUGAUACUGUUUUUCUUGAGUAUCGGAGAGGUCAUCGGAAUUCCUGGUGUAGCGGUGAAAUGCGUAGAUAUAAGGAAGAACACCAGUGGCGAAGGCGGAUGACUGGACGGCAACUGACGGUGAGGCGCGAAAGCGUGGGGAGCAAACAGGAUUAGAUACCCUUGUAGUC
RNAcentral lists this ribosomal RNA (442 nucleotides) under uncultured bacterium. RNAcentral's name for it is "partial 16S ribosomal RNA". It matches the Rfam family "Bacterial small subunit ribosomal RNA", at positions 338 to 795 of the family's 1533-position model. The record is from RNAcentral.